AUAUUUACCGAGCUCUGCCCUUCACUGAAAUAACAAGUUAGUGAGUGGGUAAAGGAAUGAGUAGAACUGCAAUGUCUGAGCUGGAAGGCUCCAGGACGGCUGUGUGAUUUGAAGAAGGGGCUUUCUGCACCUCACGGGGGCCAUUAGCUGUGGCAGAGGCCAUGCGGGGACCCAGCCUCUUCGCCCCCUGCCUGGCAGCUGUGACCACGCUGGCUGCGUCUCCGCUCACUCACAGUCACUGUCACUGUGUGCCUCUCCUGGGCCUGCCCCAGGCUGAGCUCUUCUGAGGCGAACAGGAAAAGAGCCCAGGGUCCCUGCCCUGUCUCUCCUACAGGGACACGGGGAGGUGGCCUGGCAGAGCGCAUCUGGGCUUUGGGCCCUCCCGUCUUGCCUGCUGUGCUGCGCCAUCCCCUGGACUCGGGCCCAGCUCUCUCUGUCCCUUGGAGGGAGUGCCAGGGGCACAGGGCGGGCCGGGAGGAAGGGCCCUGGGCCGGGUCAUUUCCUGACACACUUGUUUGCCACAUGCUCCUUGCUUCUGGUGCUUCCUCCGGGAAGUCUUCCAGGAUGCCCACUUUCUUCUGACUCCUUGUCCCUGGACUCUGGGCUGCUUCCCAUGUCUGGCCUCAGUUUACCCCCUACAAGCCUGAGAGCCCACAUGAUUACCACCUCUUUGCAAAUAAAGGAAGGGAGGCUGAGAGAUGGAAAAUCAAGGCAGGAGCACGAGGGUAACUCGCCCAAGGUGAGAAGACAAGAGACAACUGGCACACACCUGGCACUCACCUGGUCCCCAGCCACGCUUCAUGCUCAGAAGCCGCCUGUAUGGAGAACUGACAUUGUCACAUUCCAGCCGGGAAAACGUCACCCAAACCAUGCCCCGCCUCUUCUGCCUUUCUUCUCCCUCAAGCUCCC
RNAcentral lists this long non-coding RNA (909 nucleotides) under Heterocephalus glaber (naked mole-rat). RNAcentral describes it as "lncRNA (ENSHGLG00000039758.1)". Lineage: Eukaryota; Metazoa; Chordata; Mammalia; Rodentia; Bathyergidae. The record is from RNAcentral.